CAGCAGUAGCCGCGGUAAUACAGAGGGUGCAAGCGUUAAUCGGAAUUACUGGGCGUAAAGCGCGCGUAGGUGGUUUGUUAAGUUGGAUGUGAAAUCCCCGGGCUCAACCUGGGAACUGCAUCCAAAACUGGCAAGCUAGAGUAUGGUAGAGGGUGGUGGAAUUUCCUGUGUAGCGGUGAAAUGCGUAGAUAUAGGAAGGAACACCAGUGGCGAAGGCGACCACCUGGACUGAUACUGACACUGAGGUGCGAAAGCGUGGGGAGCAAACAGGAUUAGAUACCCCGGUAGUCCCUGUCUCUUAUAC
RNAcentral lists this ribosomal RNA (304 nucleotides) under uncultured bacterium. RNAcentral's name for it is "partial 16S ribosomal RNA". It matches the Rfam family "Bacterial small subunit ribosomal RNA", at positions 506 to 807 of the family's 1533-position model. The record is from RNAcentral.